RNAcentral lists this non-coding RNA (26 nucleotides) under Mus musculus (house mouse). Lineage: Eukaryota; Metazoa; Chordata; Mammalia; Rodentia; Muridae. The record is from RNAcentral.
UAUAAUAAAAAAUAAAUCUUUGGGCC